GCCCGGUUAGCCCAGAGGUAGAGGCACCGACCUAACCGGUCGGGUAAGGGCAGGUUCGAUUCCUGCGCCGGGCU
Molecule: transfer RNA, 74 nt
Filed under: Arthrobacter sp. PsM3
Lineage: Bacteria; Bacillati; Actinomycetota; Actinomycetes; Micrococcales; Micrococcaceae
Description: tRNA-Val
Rfam family: tRNA
About the family: Transfer RNA (tRNA) molecules are approximately 80 nucleotides in length. Their secondary structure includes four short double-helical elements and three loops (D, anti-codon, and T loops).
Source: RNAcentral